Molecule: long non-coding RNA, 313 nt
Organism: Sycon ciliatum
Lineage: Eukaryota; Metazoa; Porifera; Calcarea; Leucosolenida; Sycettidae
Exons: 4
Source: RefSeq, a predicted model, not a curated record
UACCUGGGAACUGGAAGACGACGAAGAAGAAGCGUGGGAAUCCGGCGGCAAUGGCUGGGAUGACUGAACUUACGGGAAGGAGUGCUUCCAAGAUGGGAGACGAAGAAGAAGAAGCCGCUGAAUCCGGCGGCAAUGGCUGGGAUGCUGCGUUCUCCAGAAGAAGCGUUAUUUCUGCAUUCCAAGAAGGACGGCACAAUGUGUCGGACUGUCCGCGUCGCAUUGAACUGGUCCGAUGAGGCUGCUAUUGCACACACAGUGAGGGAACUCCCAUACGGGAACUCGAAAGUACUGCUACAGUACAGGUAAGGUGGCC